UUUAGUGAGGGCCUACUCUGUGCUGAUUUGGGGAACAGUUCGGUGGAGGGAGCCCUAAGAUGGACUUCAAGAGCGAGCCUCCAGUAGGAGGCCGCUCGGCCUCCCUAUACUACCACCGGUCCGUGACAAACGGGCCCUCCCCCCUUCCUCCUGGGGUCUCCACCCCUCGGUGCCAGGGCAGACACCCUUCCCUUAGCCCGAGGCUGAGGCCACCGUGAAAUAGCAGCCCUCAAGCACGGAGCAGCAUCUAGGGAAGAAUCACCUAGUAAAUUUGGACUGCUUGGGAGGAGGACCUAUUCCUCACGCCCACCGACUUUUUUCAAAAGUCCAAAUGAGGAAGGAAAUCGGCGUAUUUUAAGCACAUAUUUCGAGUUCUGAGGAGCAUGGAAGAAUGCAGCCCCUUUUAAUACACAGUGGAAAGCAUAAAGAUGUAAGAAAUCAUCAGGUGCUGUGGGAGCCUGGAGGACUGUCCUUUGAUCCAGCUUCAGAGAGGGGCAGGGGUUUCCUGGAAGAUAUAAAUAUCCAGAUAUCUCAUAAAGUGGAAUCAUCCAGGGGAGCCUGGCUCUCUCAGUGGGUAGAGCAUGUGACUCUUGAUCUCUGGAUUGUAUGUUCAAGCCCCACACUGGGUGUAGAGAUUACUUAAAAAUAAAGUCUUUCUUUUUAAUUAAAAAAAUGUUUGUUAGUUUGUUUGUUUAUAGCACAAGUAGGGGAGAGGCAGAGACAGAGGGAAAGACAGAAUCCCAAGCAGGCUCCGCAGUGUCAGCACAGAGCCUGAUGUGGGGCUUGACCCCAUGAACUGCAAGAUCAUGACCGGAGUCUAAAUCAAGAGCCAGACUCUCAACCUACUGAGCCACCCAGGCUGACCCGUUCAAAAUAAAAUCUUAGGGGCACCUGCAGGGUUCAGUGGUUGACCACUGGACUUCAGCUCAGGUCAUGAUCUCAGGGUUCAUGGGUUUGAGCCCUGCAUCAGGCUUCCUGCUGUCAGCACCGAGCUGCCUUGGGAUCCUUGGUCCCCCUCUCUCUCUGCCCCUCCCCCACUUGGGUGUACUCGCGUGCUCUCUC
Long non-coding RNA from Acinonyx jubatus (cheetah), 1062 nucleotides. RefSeq lists it as uncharacterized. Lineage: Eukaryota; Metazoa; Chordata; Mammalia; Carnivora; Felidae. The record is from RefSeq and is a predicted model, not a curated record. The transcript has 3 exons.